RNAcentral lists this ribosomal RNA (1342 nucleotides) under metagenome. RNAcentral describes it as "bacterial LSU rRNA". It matches the Rfam family "Bacterial large subunit ribosomal RNA", at positions 1566 to 2925 of the family's 2925-position model. The record is from RNAcentral.
AUACGUUUUCAUUCUUUGAAUGAAAAUUAACUAGCUAUCAUACUCCCAAGAAAAGCUCGUACUACCGUUAAACAUCACAGUACCUGUACCGUAAACCGACACAGGUAGGUUGGUAGAGUAUACCAAGGGGCGCGAGAUAACUCUCUCUAAGGAACUCGGCAAAAUGACCCCGUAACUUCGGGAGAAGGGGUGCCAAGUAUUCAACUUGGUCGCAGUGACCAGGCCCAGGCGACUGUUUAUCAAAAACACAGGUCUCCGCAAAGUCGUAAGACAACAUAUGGGGGCUGACGCCUGCCCAGUGCCGGAAGGUUAAGGAAGUUGGUUAUUCUUCGGAAGAAGCUGACGACCGAAGCCCCGGUGAACGGCGGCCGUAACGAUAACGGUCCUAAGGUAGCGAAAUUCCUUGUCGGGUAAGUUCCGACCCGCACGAAAGGCGUAACGAUCUGGGCGCUGUCUCGGAGAGAGACUCGGUGAAAUAGACAUGUCUGUGAAGAUGCGGACUACCUGCACUUGGACAGAAAGACCCUAUGAAGCUUGACUGUAGCUUGGAAUUGGGUUCGGGCUCUUCUUGCGCAGUCUAGGUGGGAGGCGUUGAAAGUUUUCUUUCGGGAAAACUGGAGCCAUCAGUGAGAGACCACUCUGGAGGAGCUAGAAUUCUAAUGGCGUUCCUUGAAGCAGGACGCUUGACAGUUUCAGGUGGGCAGUUUGACUGGGGCGGUCACCUCCUACAAGGUAACGGAGGUGUGCAAAGGUUCCCUCAGGCUGGACGGAAAUCAGCCGUAGAGUGUAAAGGCAGAAGGGAGCUUGACUGCAAGACCUACAAGUCGAGCAGGGGCGAAAGCCGGCCUUAGUGAUCCGACGGUUCCGUGUGGAAGGGCCGUCGCUCAACGGAUAAAAGUUACUCUAGGAUAACAGGCUGAUCUUCCCCAAGAGUUCACAUCGACGGGAAGGUUUGGCACCUCGAUGUCGGCUCAUCGCAACCUGGGGCGGUAGUACGUCCCAAGGGUUGGGCUGUUCGCCCAUGAAAGCGGUACGUGAGCUGGGUUCAGAACGUCGUGAGACAGUUCGGUCCAUAUCCGGUGUAGGCGUUAGAGUAUUGAGGAGAGUCACCCAUAGUACGAGAGGACCUGGGUGAAUGCACCUCUAGUAUAUGAGUUAUCACGCCAGUGGUAAACGCUCAGUAGCUAUGUGCAGAGAAGAUAACCGCUGAAAGCAUCUAAGUGGGAAGCUCACUCCAAGAUGAGUACUCUCUAUUCAGGCUACUCGAAGACCACGAGUUCGAUAGGCAGAAAGUGGAAGACUAGUAAUAGUUGCAGCUGAUCUGUACUAACAAGCCGAUCGA